UAGCUCAAUUAAAGCAUCGGUUCCCGUACGAUCACCGAAGUUAAGCAAUGUCGAGCUUCGUCAGUAAUUAGAUGGAUGACCGCAUGGAAUAUUCGGUGCAGUA
This is a non-coding RNA of Acanthosepion pharaonis, 103 nucleotides long. NCBI's taxonomy places the organism in Eukaryota, Metazoa, Mollusca, Cephalopoda, Sepiida, Sepiidae. The record is from the annotation of a GenBank genome assembly.